RNAcentral lists this ribosomal RNA (753 nucleotides) under uncultured Candidatus Poseidoniales archaeon. RNAcentral describes it as "bacterial SSU rRNA". It matches the Rfam family "Archaeal small subunit ribosomal RNA", at positions 102 to 857 of the family's 1478-position model. Lineage: Archaea; Methanobacteriati; Thermoplasmatota; Candidatus Poseidoniia; Candidatus Poseidoniales. The record is from RNAcentral.
AGGUAACCUACCCUAUGCUGGGGGAUAAGCUCGGGAAACUGAGAAUAAUACCCCAUAGUCCACUACGCCUGGAACGGUGAGUGGAUCAAAGCUCCGGCGGCAUAGGAUGGGCCUGCGGCGUAUCAGGUUGUAGGGGGUGUAAUGUACCCUCUAGCCAUCUACGCGUACGGGUGUUGGGAGACAUUGCCCGGAGAUGGAUUCUGAGACACGAAUCCAGACCCUACGGGGUGCAGCAGGCGCGAAAACUUGGCAAUGCGAGAAAUCGUGACCAGGGAACUCCAAGUGGCAGGGGUAAGACCCUGUCUUUUUCCGACUCUAAAUAGGUCGGCGAAUAAGGGGUGGGUAAGGACGGUGCCAGCCGCCGCGGUAAUACCGGCGCCUCAAGUGGUAGUCGCUUUUAUUGGGCCUAAAACGUCCGUAGCCGGUCUGGUACAUUCGUGGGUAAAUCAACUCGCUCAACGAGUUGAAUUCUGCGAGGACGGCCAGACUUGGGACCGGGAGAGGUGUGGGGUACUCUCAGGGUAGGGGUAAAAUCCUGUCAUCCUGAGAGGACCACCUGUUGCGAAGGCUCCACACUAGAACGGAUCCGACGGUCAGGGACGAAGCCUAGGGGCACGAACCGGAUUAGAUACCCGGGUAGUCCUAGGUGUAAACGCUGUGGACUUGAUGUUGGGGACGCUCCGAGCGUUCUCAGUGUCGAAGCGAAGGUGAUAAGUCCACUGCCUGGGGAGUACGGUCGCAAGGCUGAAACUU